GCCCAAGAGAUCGGGAUAACACCUGGAAACAGAUGCUAAUACCGGAUAACAACAGAUGAUGCCUAUCAACUGUUUAAAAGAUGGUUCUGCUAUCACUNUUUGGAUGGACCUGCGGUGCAUUAGCUAGUUGGUAGGGUAACGGCCUACCAAGGCGAUGAUGCAUAGCCGAGUUGAGAGACUGAUCGGCCACAUUGGGACUGAGACACGGCCCAAACUCCUACGGGAGGCAGCAGCCA
This 236-nucleotide ribosomal RNA is filed under the name uncultured Lactobacillus sp. Its description in RNAcentral is "partial 16S ribosomal RNA". It matches the Rfam family "Bacterial small subunit ribosomal RNA", at positions 128 to 355 of the family's 1533-position model. Lineage: Bacteria; Bacillati; Bacillota; Bacilli; Lactobacillales; Lactobacillaceae. The record is from RNAcentral.